UGCCAGCCUCCGCGGUACGACUGAUUGUGCAAGCGUUGUUCGGAAUUACUGGGCGUAAAGCGUACGUAGGCGGUUGGUUAAGUCGAAUGUUAAAGCCUGGGGCUCAACCCCAUGGAUGCAUUCGAUACUGGCCAACUAGAGGGUGGCAGAGGAAAGCGGAAUUCCAAGUGUAGCGGUGAAAUGCGUAGAUAUUUGGAGGAACAUCGGUAGCGAAAGCGGCUUUCUGGACCAUUCCUGACGCUGAGGUACGAAAGCGUGGGUAGCAAACAGGAUUAGAUA
Molecule: ribosomal RNA, 279 nt
Filed under: uncultured bacterium
Lineage: Bacteria
Description: partial 16S ribosomal RNA
Rfam family: Bacterial small subunit ribosomal RNA
Source: RNAcentral